AAUAGAUACCCAGGUAGUCCAUGCCGUAAACGUUGGGAACUAGAUGUAGGGCCUGUUCCACGGGUUCUGUGUCGUAGCUAACGCAUUAAGUUCCCCGCCUGGGGAGUACGGCCGCAAGGCUAAAACUCAAAGGAAUUGACGGGGGCCCGCACAAGCGGCGGAGCAUGCGGAUUAAUUCGAUGCAACGCGAAGAACCUUACCAAGGCUUGACAUGACCGAGAACGCUGUAGAGAUACAGAACUCUUUGGACACUCGGUUACAGGUGGUGCAUGGUUGUCGUCAGCUCGUGUCGUGAGAUGUUCGGUUAAGUCCGGCAACGAGCGCAACCCUCGUCCUAUGUUGCCAGCACGUGAUGGUGGGAACUCAUGGGAUACUGCCGUGGUCAACACGGAGGAAGGUGGGGAUGACGUCAAAUCAUCAUGCCCCUUAUGUCUUGGGCUUCACGCAUGCUACAAUGGCCGAUACAAAGGGCUGCGAUACCGCGAGGUGGAGCGAAAUCCCAAAAAGCCGGUCUCGAGUUCGGAUUGGGGU
This 531-nucleotide ribosomal RNA is filed under the name uncultured bacterium. RNAcentral describes it as "bacterial SSU rRNA". It matches the Rfam family "Bacterial small subunit ribosomal RNA", at positions 777 to 1304 of the family's 1533-position model. The record is from RNAcentral.